Molecule: ribosomal RNA, 503 nt
Filed under: uncultured bacterium
Lineage: Bacteria
Description: bacterial SSU rRNA
Rfam family: Bacterial small subunit ribosomal RNA
Source: RNAcentral
AUUGAACGCUGGCGGCAUGCUUUACACAUGCAAGUCGAACGGUAACAGGCCGCAAGGUGCUGACGAGUGGCGAACGGGUGAGUAAUGCAUCGGAACGUGCCCAGUCGUGGGGGAUAACUACUCGAAAGAGUAGCUAAUACCGCAUACGAUCUAUGGAUGAAAGCGGGGGACCGUAAGGCCUCGCGCGAUUGGAGCGGCCGAUGUCAGAUUAGGUAGUUGGUGGGGUAAAGGCUCACCAAGCCAACGAUCUGUAGCUGGUUUGAGAGGACGACCAGCCACACUGGGACUGAGACACGGCCCAGACUCCUACGGGAGGCAGCAGUGGGGAAUUUUGGACAAUGGGCGCAAGCCUGAUCCAGCAAUGCCGCGUGCAGGAAGAAGGCCUUCGGUUGUAACUAGCUUUGUACGGUAACGAACGGUACCUGGUUAAGUACCUGGGGCUAAGUGACGGUACCGUAACGAAUAAGACACCGGCGUAACUAACGUGCCAGCAGCCGCGGUAA